This 253-nucleotide ribosomal RNA is filed under the name uncultured bacterium. RNAcentral describes it as "partial 16S ribosomal RNA". It matches the Rfam family "Bacterial small subunit ribosomal RNA", at positions 524 to 776 of the family's 1533-position model. The record is from RNAcentral.
GACGAAGGAUCCAAGCGUUAUCCGGAAUGAUUGGGCGUAAAGCGUCCGCAGGUGGCAGUUCAAGUCUGCUGUCAAAGACCGGGGCUUAACUUCGGAAAGGCAGUGGAAACUGAACAGCUAGAGUAUGGUAGGGGCAGAGGGAAUUCCUGGUGUAGCGGUGAAAUGCGUAGAGAUCAGGAAGAACAUCGGUGGCGAAGGCGCUCUGCUGGACCAUAACUGACACUCAGGGACGAAAGCUAGGGGAGCGAAUGGG